UCAAGUUUAGAAAUGAAACUUGAACGAGCGAGCCUACUCUACUUGUUGCUGUCAAAAACAAGCUUUCAUUCAUAGCUUCCAUUCAAUUGCAAUCAAUCGUUCAUUUCAUCCGGGGUGCAGCGUGAUGAGAUGCUACCAGAUUCCUGUCAUGGCGGAAAAGGAAAAACAGGUAUGUAGGGGCUAGGUGCAGGCAGAACAGGGCGGGUUAACAUGAGACAAUUAGUAAGAAUUUAAAUAAGUGUUUAUGAAUAUAGUAACAUUCAAUAAUUAGUUGGGUCUUCACAAAAUUUUUUGCUAGUAUCCCAAAAUUCUUGCUAAUUCUUUUCAUGAAAAUUCUGUGUUCAUGUUAAAAGUGAUAUUUUGAUAUUAAUAAAUAUCUUUAAAUAUUA
Long non-coding RNA from Helicoverpa zea (corn earworm), 389 nucleotides. RefSeq lists it as uncharacterized. The record is from RefSeq and is a predicted model, not a curated record. The transcript has 3 exons. NCBI's taxonomy places the organism in Eukaryota, Metazoa, Arthropoda, Insecta, Lepidoptera, Noctuidae.